This 308-nucleotide signal recognition particle RNA is filed under the name Eucalyptus grandis. Its description in RNAcentral is "Plant signal recognition particle RNA". It matches the Rfam family "Plant signal recognition particle RNA". Lineage: Eukaryota; Viridiplantae; Streptophyta; Magnoliopsida; Myrtales; Myrtaceae. The record is from Rfam by way of RNAcentral.
GCCGAGCUCGCUCACGAGAGCUUGUAACCCAAGUGGGGGCUUUAUAUGGUGGUGGGACGUUGGGCCCGUCAAUUGGGCCGGGCCUUAUGUGGCUGUCCACUGGCUUGCCCGUUCCAAGCCCGGAGUUGGCCCGCGGGGCUCGGACGAAGGUUCGGGCUUCGCGGGCCUUAGAGAGGAGGGGACUGCGCUAGGCUGGCUUCACAGAGCAGCGACGACCUCCCGCUCCCGGCAGUGGAAGGAUAACAGGCCGGAGCUGCACGGGCCCAAUAUGGCCCAGCGGGCUGGCCCUUAAUUGAACCACCACUUUU